Molecule: ribosomal RNA, 492 nt
Filed under: uncultured bacterium
Lineage: Bacteria
Description: partial 16S ribosomal RNA
Rfam family: Bacterial small subunit ribosomal RNA
Source: RNAcentral
AGUGAACGCUGGCGGUAGGCCUAACACAUGCAAGUCGAACGGCAGCACAGUAAGAGCUUGCUCUUACGGGUGGCGAGUGGCGGACGGGUGAGGAAUACAUCGGAAUCUACUUUUUCGUGGGGGACAACGUAGGGAAACUUACGCUAAUACCGCAUACGACCUACGGGUGAAAGCAGGGGAUCUUCCGACCUUGCGCGAUCGAAUGAGCCGAUGUCGGAUUAGCUAGUUGGCGGGGUAAAGGCCCACCAAGGCGACGAUCCGUAGCUGGUCUGAGAGGAUGAUCAGCCACACUGGAACUGAGACACGGUCCAGACUCCUACGGGAGGCAGCAGUGGGGAAUAUUGGACAAUGGGCGCAAGCCUGAUCCAGCCAUACCGCGUGGGUGAAGAAGGCCUUCGGGUUGUAAAGCCCUUUUGUUGGGAAAGAAAAGCAGCAGGUUAAUACCCCGCUGUUCUGACGGUACCCAAAGAAUAAGCACCGGCUAACUUCGUG